AGUGGUUAGAAUGUGUAGUGGUAGCGGGGAAAUGCAUAGAUAUUACACAGAAUACCGAUUGCGAAGGCAGAUCACUAAUAAUAUAUUGACGCUGAUGGACGAAAGCGUAGGUAGCGAACAGGAUUAGAUACCCUGGUAGUCUACGCCGUAAACGAUGGUUACUAGCUGUCCGGCCUAAUUGAGGGCUGGGUGGUUAAGCGAAAGUGAUAAGUAACCCACCUGGGGAGUACGUUCGCAAGAAUGAAACUCAAAGGAAUUGACGGGGGCCCGCACAAGCGGUGGAGCAUGUGGUUUAAUUCGAUGAUACGCGAGGAACCUUACCAGGGCUUAAAUGCAGUCUGACAGGGAUGGAAACAUCUUUUUCUUCGGACAGAUUGCAAGGUGCUGCAUGGUUGUCGUCAGCUCGUGCCGUGAGGUGUCAGGUUAAGUCCUAUAACGAGCGCAACCCCUGUGGUUAGUUGCCAGCACGUAAUGGUGGGAACUCUAGCCAGACUGCCGGUGCAAACCGUGAGGAAGGUGGGGAUGACGUCAAAUCAUCACGGCCCUUACGUCCUGGGCCACACACGUGCUACAAUGGUAGGGACAGAGAGCAGCCACUGGGCGACCAGGAGCGAAUCUAUAAACCCUAUCACAGUUCGGAUCGUAGUCUGCAACUCGACUACGUGAAGCUGGAAUCGCUAGUAAUCGCAUAUCAGCCAUGAUGCGGUGAAUACGUUCCCGGGCCUUGUACACACCGCCCGUCAAGCCAUGGAAGCUGGGGGUACCUGAAGUCCGUUACCGUAAGGAGCGGCCUAGGGUAAAACUGGUAACUGGGGCUAAGUCGUAACAAGGUAACC
RNAcentral lists this ribosomal RNA (836 nucleotides) under uncultured bacterium. RNAcentral's name for it is "bacterial SSU rRNA". It matches the Rfam family "Bacterial small subunit ribosomal RNA", at positions 656 to 1501 of the family's 1533-position model. The record is from RNAcentral.